UACGUGAAACCGUUCAGGGGUAAACCUGAGAAACCCGAAAGAUCGAAUGGGGAGAUUCAGCGCGUCUCCGAGCUGGCGAGCGGCGGGGUUAGCGACGGACGUCCUUCGGGACGGCUGCGCGCCCCGUCACCGCGUCCGGUUUGGAACGCGUGCACUUCUCCCCUAGUAGGACGUCGCGACCCGUUGGGUGUCGGCCUUAGGCUAGCGGUGGAGCCCGCGAGGACGGUCCCGGCCGUCCCUUGCGGACCCGCGAUGCCCGGCCGGCUCGCCCGACGGUUCCGAAAUGGCUUGGAGCCGCGAUUCGUUCGCGUCCGGCCCGUCGCAAGCUCGGACGGUUGCCCGGCUGUCGGACCUAGCGCCGACACUGGAGCCGUUCGGCUGCUGGCGGCGGAGACCUCGGACGGACUCCUAUCACGCCAGUCGGCGACGCUUUAGCUUUGGGUACUUUCAGGACCCGUCUUGAAACACGGACCAAGGAGUCUAGCAUGUGCGCGAGUCAUUGGGACUUGCUAAACCUAAAGGCGAAAUGAAAGUGAAGGCACGCUUCGCGCAUGCCUAGGGAGGAUGGGCCGCGUCACCGUGCGCGGCCCCGCACUCCAGGGGCGUCUC
RNAcentral lists this ribosomal RNA (609 nucleotides) under Pselaphinae sp. NZAC 03013358. Its description in RNAcentral is "eukaryotic LSU rRNA". The record is from RNAcentral. Lineage: Eukaryota; Metazoa; Arthropoda; Insecta; Coleoptera; Staphylinidae.